GGUUUGCCCUGAAGAAAAGCAGAGCAAGAAUUGCAGUGACAUUUGCAAGGAAGAGGAAAAUCUUUUCCUUCCGCCUAUGUAUUCAGGAGUUGUGAUAUCCCUCAUAUCCUAGCAACAGUCUUGGAGGACUUACCUAUGUGAGGACGAAUUUUAUUCAUGUACUUCAGCCAACAUGUCACAACAGCUUGAGUGCAGAAACAGAUUCAUUUGGCAACAAUUUGAUUUGGAGAAGGAGGUUAUGUUGCACAAAUAACAAAUGGUUGGAAGUGAGAGCCCAAGACAGGAAGAAACUGUACUGAUUCAAGGUCUAACUGGACAAUGGUGAAGAAAAGGGGAUCCCACUAGUCCCUUUCUAUGGGGGAGAACUUGGACUGGUUCUGCUGUCAGUUUACACAGUGAGAUCUUCACCAUAUGUAACUCUCGAGGCUGGAGAGAUGACACGCCGCCAAAAUGGUUGGGAAACAUGGAGAAGUGGUGAGCUCUGGCUGGACCACCCUAUAAGGAGAGGUGACUUCUGCAAAGUGGUAUUCUGCUGCAGGCUGCUGCUCUGCGUCCUUG
Molecule: long non-coding RNA, 558 nt
Organism: Marmota monax (woodchuck)
Lineage: Eukaryota; Metazoa; Chordata; Mammalia; Rodentia; Sciuridae
Exons: 4
Source: RefSeq, a predicted model, not a curated record